GGCCUCAUUACCAUCUCUCCUCUCCAGGGAACAGCAGUCAGAGAGCCUAGUCCCCAGGGAAGAGCAGCAGCCUUGCAGUUUAUAUGGCGAGACUGGUACUCAGGACCCAAAAUACUGGGAAAUAACCUAAGACAAACACGAUGCUGUGUGAGACCCCGCAGAUGACAUUUACUAAACCAUCAGAAUGUGGAGAAUCACUCUGAUACCCUGCAGUACCAGGUCCUGCUACUCCUUCCUCUGUAUUUCAGGCAACCUGAACGCACCUUGUCCCACUUCUGGCCUCUUCACCUGCCUUACCUCUGUCUGUAAAUUACAAACCUGCUUCCAGUUUCAUAACUUUCCAGAUCUUACAAGGCUCAGGUCACAGCAGCCUCAUUAUUCUUUCUCAACCACACCAAAGACCUGCCCUGCAUGCUCCCCACUCAGGUGCCCACAUGGCUUGUUCUUCUUUUCCCUUUGGGUCUUAGCUCAAAUGUGACCCCCCUCACACAGGGCUUUCUCAACUACCUUGUCUGAAACAGCACCCUGGGAGUUCUUCAUUCAUUUUUUUCAACAUCAAUGAAAUGUAUUCUUGAACUUUUAUUUAUUCCGAAGGGUAAUACACAAAGCACAAAGCCUUCCUCAACCUGCUGGGGGUCUGUCUCUUGCGCCAGACUCACAGACAGGGAGUCUUCCUUGUUUGACACCACCUAGUGGCUUCGGGUCUGAAUUACU
RNAcentral lists this long non-coding RNA (714 nucleotides) under Canis lupus familiaris (dog). RNAcentral's name for it is "lncRNA (ENSCAFG00000041664.2)". The record is from RNAcentral. Lineage: Eukaryota; Metazoa; Chordata; Mammalia; Carnivora; Canidae.